This 553-nucleotide ribosomal RNA is filed under the name uncultured bacterium. RNAcentral describes it as "partial 16S ribosomal RNA". It matches the Rfam family "Bacterial small subunit ribosomal RNA", at positions 355 to 895 of the family's 1533-position model. The record is from RNAcentral.
UGGGGAAUAUUGCACAAUGGGCGCAAGCCUGAUGCAGCCAUGCCGCGUGUGUGAAGAAGGCCUUCGGGUUGUAAAGCACUUUCAGCGAGGAGGAAGGUGGUGAGCUUAAUACGCUCAUCAAUUGACGUUACUCGCAGAAGAAGCACCGGCUAACUCCGUGCCAGCAGCCGCGGUAAUACGGAGGGUGCAAGCGUUAAUCGGAAUUACUGGGCGUAAAGCGCACGCAGGCGGUUUGUUAAGUCAGAUGUGAAAUCCCCGGGCUCAACCUGGGAACUGCAUUUGAAACUGGCAAGCUAGAGUCUCGUAGAGGGGGGUAGAAUUCCAGGUGUAGCGGUGAAAUGCGUAGAGAUCUGGAGGAAUACCGGUGGCGAAGGCGGCCCCCCUGGACGAAGACUGACGCUCAGGUGCGAAAGCGUGGGGCAGCAAACAGGAUUAGAUACCCUGGUAGUCCAGCGCUGUAAACGAUGUCGAUUUGGAGGUUGUGCCCUUGAGGCGUGGCUUCCGGAGCUAACGCGUUAAAUCGACCGCCCUGGGGGAGUACGGCCGCAAGGUU